Molecule: non-coding RNA, 169 nt
Filed under: uncultured Cetobacterium sp.
Lineage: Bacteria; Fusobacteriati; Fusobacteriota; Fusobacteriia; Fusobacteriales; Fusobacteriaceae
Description: Lysine riboswitch
Rfam family: Lysine riboswitch aptamer
About the family: Riboswitches are metabolite binding domains within certain messenger RNAs that serve as precision sensors for their corresponding targets.
Source: RNAcentral
UUAGGUAGAGGUUGCAGAUGACAACAGUAAUUUAAGGGAGUUCACAGACAAAGAACUUAAAUGAAAGGGGAUUUUGCCGAAAUAAAAAAUAGGUUGAAGUUUUUUAUUGGGUGUAUAAAUAAUAUUUAUACAACUGUCAUUAAAAAGGGAUUUUUAAUGUUGAGCUAUC